AUGAAAUUUGAGAAGGGCCUCAAUACUGCCACAUUAUUAUCUAACGAGGUUAAAUGUAAACAAGUGGCUUUAUUAGAGCGAGACAUCCUUCUGAAGAAUCUAAAGAGUGUAUUGGAGUCACUGAGAGGUCAAGUAGCUGGCAAAUAUAAGGAUGAAAUUGGGGAAUCGGUAUCUAUGGUGGAUAUUUUAGCAGUUCAGCUGUCCAAAACAGAAAAUGAGUUGCUUCAGCAGAAAACCGAGGUCACGAGAAUAGCGACUUCACUAAAACUGGCUUCUGAAGAUGCUAGGAGAAUUGUUGACGAAGAACGAACUAAUGCACGCAUGGAGAUUGAAAAUGCUAGAGCUGCUGUACAAAGAGUUCAAAAAGUACUUAAAGAGAAAGAGAACAAUUCACAAAGAAUUAGAAAGGAGUUGCAGCCCACCUAA
RNAcentral lists this ribosomal RNA (426 nucleotides) under Triticum aestivum (bread wheat). RNAcentral's name for it is "partial small subunit ribosomal RNA". The record is from RNAcentral. Lineage: Eukaryota; Viridiplantae; Streptophyta; Magnoliopsida; Poales; Poaceae.